This 328-nucleotide unclassified non-coding RNA is filed under the name uncultured fungus. RNAcentral describes it as "partial contains small subunit ribosomal RNA, internal transcribed spacer 1, and 5.8S ribosomal RNA". The stretch from base 1 to 73 matches the Rfam family "Eukaryotic small subunit ribosomal RNA", at positions 1759 to 1831 of the family's 1831-position model. The record is from RNAcentral. Lineage: Eukaryota; Fungi.
GCAAACUUGGUCAUUUAGAGGAAGUAAAAGUCGUAACAAGGUUUCCGUAGGUGAACCUGCGGAAGGAUCAUUAUCGAGUUAGGGUCUUCUUAGGCCCGACCUCCCAACCCUUUGUCGAACUUACCACUUGUUGCUUCGGCGGGCCCGUCACUCUCCUCACAGAGAGGGACCGCCGGAGGACCGUCACACGUCCUCUGGCCCGCGCCCGUCGAUAGCCCCAUUUAUUAAAAUUCUGAACAAAACGUGUCACAAUCUGAGUAUCUAUUUAAAUAAAGCAAAAACUUUCAACAACGGAUCUCUUGGUUCUGGCAUCGAUGAAGAACGCAGC